AUUGAACGCUGGCGGCAGGCCUAACACAUGCAAGUCGAGCGGAUGAAGGGAGCUUGCUCCUGGAUUCAGCGGCGGACGGGUGAGUAAUGCCUAGGAAUCUGCCUGGUAGUGGGGGAUAACGUCCGGAAACGGGCGCUAAUACCGCAUACGUCCUGAGGGAGAAAGUGGGGGAUCUUCGGACCUCACGCUAUCAGAUGAGCCUAGGUCGGAUUAGCUAGUUGGUGGGGUAAAGGCCUACCAAGGCGACGAUCCGUAACUGGUCUGAGAGGAUGAUCAGUCACACUGGAACUGAGACACGGUCCAGACUCCUACGGGAGGCAGCAGUGGGGAAUAUUGGACAAUGGGCGAAAGCCUGAUCCAGCCAUGCCGCGUGUGUUAAGAAGGUCCUCGGAUUGUAAAGCACUUUAAGUUGGGAGGAAGGGCAGUAAGUUAAUACCUUGCUGUUUUGACGGUACCAACAGAAUAAGCACCGGCUAACUUCGUG
RNAcentral lists this ribosomal RNA (484 nucleotides) under uncultured bacterium. RNAcentral's name for it is "partial 16S ribosomal RNA". It matches the Rfam family "Bacterial small subunit ribosomal RNA", at positions 30 to 507 of the family's 1533-position model. The record is from RNAcentral.